GGCAUGUACAACGCACAGCCGAUCCUUGUCUUUUUGCUGCCACAUCAGCACAGGAGUCCUCGGUGUACAUCAAUAAAUGAAGAAAGAGGAUGGAGCCGUCGUCUCGUUCGUCGACGGCACGGGCUCGUGCUCCGGAGCGAGUCGCCACCCCACGCCGCGCGUUGUAUGGUUUUUGCUGCGGGUCGUCGACGGCGCGGCGGAUCCCUUGCGCGUGAGCGGGAUUUUCCCGCACGAUGGCGGCAAAAUCUUCUGCAGCGCGCCAUCUUCCCUCCCCAAAUUUUCCACCUUUGGCUCGUAUUGCAUCUCCCCCACGAGCACCAUGGGAAAGAAAAGGAGCGGGCGGCGGCGGUGGUGCGUGAGCUGCUUGAUGCGGCGGCACAGCGGGAGCGGAAGGCUGGGGCAAGCGCGGAAGGGCUCAUCGUUGGUAGGGGAGGCAAAAGGAAAGGCAGCUGCACAACAACAGAAGGGUGUUUCGCGUGCAGCAGCAGCGCCGGAGAAGAAGGGCACGCCCCGCGGGGCAGCUGUUUCCGGCGGUGGAUUUGGUGGAGCUGCUUCACCCACGUCCUUCACUGGUCGGAGCAACUUCUUUAGCAGCGCAUUCUUCCCCAAUGCUGGGUUUUGAGUCUCAAUUAAAUCCUGCUACCUGAUAACAUAUCAGUCUCAAUUUUACUAGAGAUUGCUCGUAGAAACUAGUGAGUGCAAUCAAUUUUUCCUGGUAACACAUCUUUGUUGAUGCAUGCCGAUUGAGGAGAGUUUUGAGUCUAGUUCAAUUGCAUGGUAUGGUAUGGAGUUCAGAAUACAAAUUAAUUUUGUAGGGAUUGCAGAUGUACUAGAUAUCAAUCACUAUUAACCAUCUUUCCCAAAAUCGAGCUGAAUAUAUAGAGACGCCAACUUGUAGUUCUAUGUUGAUUUAGCUGGGAAAAUUUAGCUAUUCAAUCGGACAGUUCUCACUAUGCUCCAUUCAAGCUAGAUAAUGUUUUCUUUACUAGUGAGAUUCAGUGCAACGAUAUGGUCUGUAGUUACUUUAUCUCUCUGCUUCAGCUAGAUAAUGUUUUCCUUACUAUUAGAAGACAGAUAAGCUCUUGGCUGCGUAUUUCUAUCACAAGACAUAGCACUAAUGUCUGAUGAAGAGAAGGCUGAUCAAGCUGCUACCAUGAAGUAUUUGAAGAAAAAAUUAUUUGUUGAAUCUAAUUAAGGAGCUUCAACUUGCUUUGCAUGAAGCUCUGGAACCUGAACCUGAAGAAUAAACUCUGAAUGGCAACUGUAAUGCUGAUAUGUAAUGGUAUUUGAAUCUGAACCUGAAGCAUAUUUAUCUAGCUUCCUGACUUACAGAUAUGUAAUACUAUUUGAACCAAUGAUCUAUAAUGCUUUAUUUUGUUAGCUUAUUUUGAACCAAUUCUAUGAUGUCACUUUGGACAUCUGUGUGCA
Molecule: long non-coding RNA, 1428 nt
Organism: Panicum virgatum (switchgrass)
Lineage: Eukaryota; Viridiplantae; Streptophyta; Magnoliopsida; Poales; Poaceae
Exons: 2
Source: RefSeq, a predicted model, not a curated record